RNAcentral lists this ribosomal RNA (262 nucleotides) under uncultured bacterium. RNAcentral describes it as "partial 16S ribosomal RNA". It matches the Rfam family "Bacterial small subunit ribosomal RNA", at positions 335 to 594 of the family's 1533-position model. The record is from RNAcentral.
UAUCCUACGGGAGGCAGCAGUGAGGAAUAUUGGUCAAUGGGCGUAAGCCUGAACCAGCCAAGUCGCGUGAGGGAUGAAGGUUCUAUGGAUCGUAAACCUCUUUUAUAAGGGAAUAAAGGGCGGGACGUGUCCUGUUUUGUAUGUACCUUAUGAAUAAGGAUCGGCUAACUCCGUGCCAGCAGCCGAGGUAAUACGGAGGAUCCGGGGGUUAUGCGGAUUUAUUGGGUGUAACGGGUGCGUAGGCGGCAUUUUAUGUCAGAGG